GUUAGAAGGAUCCCAGCAACAGGAAGGCAUGAGGAAUCCGGGCAAUUAGCACUUAAGGAAAGGGCCCUAAGCUCCAGGACGGGGGCUGGGCAGGAUCUCCAGCUCACCUUGCUGGAGAUGAACAAAACCCGUGUCCAGCCUCAGCUGUGACACACCUUCCAGGAAGGGUCUUGCUCAGUGCCACUUUUCCCUCCCACCUGGAAUUGUGAGGGAGAGUGUAUUUUUGCGGGUGAUUGGAGAAACGAAGUGAACGUUGUCUAGGCGGCUGGACUAUUUGAGUGGAAAAUAGAUGUGAGAGAUACCAAGACUGAUCAGAGGGUGACCUAUGAGCCACCAGCAUCAGGGUCCCAGGAGCUCAAAGAUAUAAAUUUCCUGUCCUCCCUGCCCAAUCUAAGUUCCACCUGACUCAGCACUGCCCAUCUUUAAAAGCAUUUCUGGUGAUUUUUGUGUAAACUAAAAUUUAAAGACCACAGAUCCCAGUUGUCCAAGGACAAGGCAUAAAAAUCAUUGCUGGGAGAGUUUAGCUUCUAACAUAUAAUCAAGGUGUUCCUUAAAGUAGGUUCAAUCUGAGUCAUUUGUAGGAAAGUGGCUGCACCUUGAGACCAUAAUGUAUGGCUUCUCUUAUAUGAGAAACCCAAAGAAUAAAUAAAGAACAAGAUAAAAGACAGAUGACAGGAAACAGGGAGACAAAGUUUUUGCAAAUGGAAAAAGGGAACAAGAGAUGCCAGGAGGGGGGAAGGAGGGAAAGGGGACAUAAAAAGAAUCGAUGUGUUAUGUACAUGUAUCAAGUUCCCUUGAGGAAUGUCAUUAUGUAAUGCAGAGAUGGACUAAUAAAAAAUGUAAAAAUUAUUUUAGAAAAGAUUCUAGAGGAAAAAGCUGAGCUGAAUUAAGAUUCAGGGUAGAACUUUUGGACUAUGUAAUUGAAAUGGAUUAAAUGUGAAAAUGACUGGUAUUGGAAAUAAAUUAUUUGGGACACACAUGCGUGUGCACACAUCACACACACACACACGUUCCCACCACUUCUCUCCAGAAUUCCAGAUGCUGGCUGCCUCCCACUUUCAGUGGUGUCCUUGGUAUCUCAGGCUCAUCCUGGCCACUGCCAAAUAGCCUCGCACUCAGUGGGCUCCUGUGAAGGGGCGGCUCCAACCUUAGCUUGCUUAUCCGGGAUCUUCACACUGGCUGCUCUUCCUGCCUCAGAAGGGGAGCUCUCCCAGGCAGGGAUUUCUGUGUGUUUUAUUCACGGCCUGAUCCCAGGAUUGGAAUGAUGCCCGGCACGUGGGAGAUCCUCUGUAAUGCCUGCUAGAUGAGUGACAAUGACAUGCCACGUGUCUUU
This is a long non-coding RNA of Heterocephalus glaber (naked mole-rat), 1333 nucleotides long. Lineage: Eukaryota; Metazoa; Chordata; Mammalia; Rodentia; Bathyergidae. The record is from Ensembl.